Molecule: long non-coding RNA, 211 nt
Filed under: Mytilus galloprovincialis (Mediterranean mussel)
Lineage: Eukaryota; Metazoa; Mollusca; Bivalvia; Mytilida; Mytilidae
Source: RNAcentral
UCAGAUUUCAUAAAUAAAAGAAAAAUUUCUUCAAACAUUUUUUGAGAGGAUUAAUAUUCAACAGCAUAGUGAAUUGCUCAAAGGCAAAAAAAUUUUAAGUUCAUUAGACCACAUUCAUUCUGUGUCAGAAACCUAUGCUGUGUCACCUAUUUAAUCACAAUCCAAAUUUAGAGCUGAAUCCAGCUUGAAUGUUGUGUCCAUACUUGCCCCA